This 145-nucleotide ribosomal RNA is filed under the name Caloplaca albopruinosa. Its description in RNAcentral is "internal transcribed spacer 2". Lineage: Eukaryota; Fungi; Ascomycota; Lecanoromycetes; Teloschistales; Teloschistaceae. The record is from RNAcentral.
CAUCCCUCAAGCACUGCUUGGUAUUGGGUGUUCGCCCUUCUUCCGGGGGGCGCGCCCGAAAUUCAGUGGCGGUCUCGGUGGACUUCAAGCGCAGUAAAUAUUCCGCUUUGGAAGCCUUCUACCGGUGGCCCAGCCAGUAAAUCUU